AGACGUAGGGGGCGAGCGUUGUCCGGAAUUACUGGGCGUAAAGAGCACGUAGGCGGGAUUUUAAGUCAGGUGUGAAAGACCGUGGCUCAACCACGGGGUUGCACAUGAAACUGGAAUUCUUGAGGGCAGGAGAGGAAAGUGGAAUUCCUGGUGUAGCGGUGAAAUGCGUAGAAAUCAGGAGGAACACCGGUGGCGAAGGCGACUUUCUGGACUGACCCUGACGCUGAGGUGCGAAAGCGUGGGUAGCAAACAGGAUUAGAUACCCUGGUAGUCCACGCUGUAAACGAUGGAUACUAGGUGUGGGAGGUAUCGACCCCUUCCGUGCCGCAGCAAACGCAAUAAGUAUCCCGCCUGGCGAGUACGGUCGCAAGGCUGAA
This 377-nucleotide ribosomal RNA is filed under the name uncultured bacterium. Its description in RNAcentral is "bacterial SSU rRNA". It matches the Rfam family "Bacterial small subunit ribosomal RNA", at positions 523 to 898 of the family's 1533-position model. The record is from RNAcentral.